AACGAACGCUGGCGGCAUGCCUAACACAUGCAAGUCGAACGAAGCCUUCGGGCUUAGUGGCGCAUGGGUGCGUAACGCGUGGGAAUCUGCCCUUGGGUUCGGAAUAACAGUUAGAAAUGACUGCUAAUACCGAAUGAUGUCUUCGGACCAAAGAUUUAUCGCCCAAGGAUGAGCCCGCGUCGGAUUAGCUAGUUGGUGAGGUAAAGGCUCACCAAGGCGACGAUCCGUAGCUGGUCUGAGAGGAUGAUCAGCCACACUGGGACUGAGAUACGGCCCAGACUCCUACGGGAGGCAGCAGUGGGGAAUAUUGGACAAUGGGGGCGAACCCGUCGAUCCACGCAAUGCCGCGUGAGUGAUGAA
RNAcentral lists this ribosomal RNA (360 nucleotides) under uncultured bacterium. Its description in RNAcentral is "bacterial SSU rRNA". It matches the Rfam family "Bacterial small subunit ribosomal RNA", at positions 29 to 412 of the family's 1533-position model. The record is from RNAcentral.